GAAGUGCGAUAAGCAAUGCGAAUUGCAGAAUUCCGCGAAUCAUCAGAUCUUUGAACGCAAAUGGCGCCAGAGGGAUAUCCUUCCGGCAUGUCUGUUUCAGUGUCUGAGAGGUUUCACAACUAUCUUAAUGUGAUUGAUGGCUUAGAGUGUACUCCUAGGAGCACCUCUAAAUUACCAUCUCUCAUGAAAGAUGUUCGAGUGGAUCUUUAGGUCCAAUGAAGUGGUCACAUCACUCGCAUGUGAUUUCAUUGGGACAACCUAAUUAUCCGCAUGCUCGAAGUACUCUCACGUAGUAUCGCCUUCACCGGCGAUCUACCACUCCACACCCUGCAUCUGAAACAGGCAAGAUCACCCGCUGAACUUAA
This 365-nucleotide unclassified non-coding RNA is filed under the name uncultured fungus. RNAcentral describes it as "sequence contains ITS1". The stretch from base 1 to 105 matches the Rfam family "5.8S ribosomal RNA", at positions 50 to 154 of the family's 154-position model. Lineage: Eukaryota; Fungi. The record is from RNAcentral.